CAAGGAAUAGUUUAUUAAAAAUUUUAAUUUUGGAGAUUAAAGAAGGGAGAAUACUUCUUUCCUUGA
This 66-nucleotide transfer RNA is filed under the name Toxeutes arcuatus. RNAcentral describes it as "tRNA-Pro". The record is from RNAcentral. Lineage: Eukaryota; Metazoa; Arthropoda; Insecta; Coleoptera; Cerambycidae.